UAUUAUUAUUAUUAUUAUUUUGUGUACCAUACCACGCCUCAUUUUCCUUUAAACAAAACUCCUUCACAUCAUCAUCCUCGUCAUCGCCACCGUCUGAACAUUUCUCCCACUUGUCUUCGUUACCGUGUACUUUCCGGCAGGACAACCAAUCUGCUUCUGUUCAGCUGGAUUCUAAUUUAAUUAGUUACCGGGCAAGUAAAUAUUCUGUUUUCUUAUUUAAUUUUAUUCUUGUUCGUUGUUAAUUUAGCUGGCUGGAGUUGACUGCUUGAGUUUGGGCGUAAUGCUUUUGGGGUUUGUACACUGGAUUUUGGAGGAAGUAUAUAGGUGAUUUAAGGAAUACUGGCAUGUGGGUUGCUCUUAA
RNAcentral lists this unclassified non-coding RNA (361 nucleotides) under Hevea brasiliensis (rubber tree). The record is from RNAcentral. Lineage: Eukaryota; Viridiplantae; Streptophyta; Magnoliopsida; Malpighiales; Euphorbiaceae.